This 253-nucleotide ribosomal RNA is filed under the name uncultured bacterium. RNAcentral's name for it is "partial 16S ribosomal RNA". It matches the Rfam family "Bacterial small subunit ribosomal RNA", at positions 524 to 776 of the family's 1533-position model. The record is from RNAcentral.
UACAUGUGGGGCAAGCGUUGUUCGGAAUCACUGGGCAUAAAGGGUGCGUAGGCGGCUUGUUAAGUCAGGGGUGAAAUCCGGUGGCCCAACCAUCGAACUGCCUUUGAUACUGAUGAGCUUGAGUGCGUGAGGGGUAACCGGAACGAGUAGUGUAGCGGUGAAAUGCGUAGAUAUUACUCGGAAGGCCAAAGGCGAAGGCAGGUUACUGGUACGCAACUGACGCUGAGGCACGAAAGCGUGGGGAGCAAACAGG